Long non-coding RNA from Suricata suricatta (meerkat), 840 nucleotides. RefSeq lists it as uncharacterized. The transcript is spliced from 2 exons. The record is from RefSeq and is a predicted model, not a curated record. Lineage: Eukaryota; Metazoa; Chordata; Mammalia; Carnivora; Herpestidae.
UUGCAGAGGGCCAGUUCGGCACCCCGGGGUCUAGGGCUGGGCAGGCCCGAAGCUCACCCUCCCUCGGGUGCCCAUGACAGCUUUCCUUUCCUCUGCAGGAGCCAUGGAGCCUACUCAGGCCUCAUGGCCCAUCCAGAAGCCCUCCGUGGACAGUAGGGUUGUACAGUCAUCUCCAAGGACUGUCAGGUUUGGGUACCUGCUACCCAGGAGCGGCAGGGAUCUUUUCUCGCCAGACAUCUCCUGGAGGACCCAGCACAGCCAUGAAAUAUUGCCAGGGACGGUGACAACGGCCAGUGAGCCAGGAGCCCGGGAGUCUGCUUAGGACUCUGCGUCUUUCUCUCUCUCAGUUCCUCCCCUGCUUGCUCUGUCUGUCUGUCUGUCUCUGUCUUUCUCUCUCUCCCAACAAUAAAUUCACACAAACAAAAAAGAGACCUAAAAUGACGAGAGAAGAGAAAGGCUACUCUCCAGAGUGAAGCCCUUGAAUAUCACCCUGAGGCCAAGGGUGCAAAAUGGUAAUGUGAAAACAAAAUGAGAUUUCAUUUUACGUGAACCGGGAAGACCUGAAGGCAGAGCAGCCUCACAUAGCCCUGGGUGCACCCUGUACAACUAGCAGGAGAGAGGAAGAUCAUUCUUUCCACCAAAUUUGGGCAGGAAUUUAUUUCCAGCCUUUAAGAAAAGCAGGAAGAUGUCUUCAGGCUCCAGCAUCCACGCACUGACCCCAGUCUUCAGCCGGUGGGAAACCACCAUGUCCUCAAUCCCUCCUUCCCCAGCAACUUCUGUUCAGAAGAACUCUCCCCAAUUUCCUACCAAAACCUAGUAAAAGCUGACCUUCCCUUUGUC